UUCAGAAUCUUGCACAAUGGGCGAAAGCCUGAUGCAGCGAUACCGCGUGGUGGAAGAAGGCCUUCGGGUUGUAAACACCUGUCAGGGGGAACGAUAAUGACGGUACCCCCAAAGGAAGUCACGGCUAACUACGUGCCAGCAGCCGCGGUAAUACGUAGGUGGCAAGCGUUACCCGGAAUCACUGGGCGUAAAGAGUUCGUAGGCGGUUCCAUGUGUGAGAGGUGAAAUCUCUAGGCUCAACCUAGAAACUGCCUCGCAAACUGUGGGGCUAGAAGCGGUCAGAGGUUGGUGGAAUUCCCGGUGUAGCGGUGAAAUGCGUAGAGAUCGGGAGGAACACCAGUGGCGAAGGCGACCAACUGGGGCUUGCUUGACGCUGAGGAACGACAGCCAGGGGAGCGAACG
Molecule: ribosomal RNA, 402 nt
Filed under: uncultured prokaryote
Description: bacterial SSU rRNA
Rfam family: Bacterial small subunit ribosomal RNA
Source: RNAcentral